CAGAAUAGACCUCACUCGAGAUGCUAGCUAAAAUACGUAAAAAGGUGUACAAAGUAAACAAGAGAGCGGGAGGUACCAACUCCCGGUGGAAAAACCUGAAGUAUGCUUUGAUGCGCCCAAAUUUUCCUGAAGCUUCGUGGAAUGAGAGGAUAAUUGUGAUCUAUUACUUAAAACAAAGUCACCAUUGAAGUUGUCAAGGAGUUGAAGCUUCCUCUUUCAGUCCUAUAUAUACAACUCCGCUGCUUUCUUUCCCUUGUUCUUUUUGGGGCAUGACAUUAGUGUUUUCUUUUAUCUACGUACACAUGGCGCUGCAUCCAAGGUGGUAAUCUCAACCUUUUUGAGAUCAUUUUCCCAUUUGAUGCAAAAGGUUCUACCAGUUUUUA
RNAcentral lists this long non-coding RNA (383 nucleotides) under Nicotiana benthamiana. RNAcentral's name for it is "long non-coding RNA (NBEN_LNC038097)". Lineage: Eukaryota; Viridiplantae; Streptophyta; Magnoliopsida; Solanales; Solanaceae. The record is from RNAcentral.